RNAcentral lists this small RNA (125 nucleotides) under Pluralibacter gergoviae. Its description in RNAcentral is "RtT sRNA". It matches the Rfam family "RtT RNA". From Rfam's summary of the family: This family represents a bacterial cis-regulatory element known as RtT RNA. The exact function of RtT is unknown although it is thought that it may be involved in changing the cellular response in relation to amino acid starvation. The record is from RNAcentral. Lineage: Bacteria; Pseudomonadati; Pseudomonadota; Gammaproteobacteria; Enterobacterales; Enterobacteriaceae.
GCUAUGCGCAAUUCUUGACGAUUCGAACCUGCUGCAGGUUCGUGUCGAACGUAGUGAGACAACGGAGCCGCUUGCGGCGACGGCCCGCAGGGCGAGCGAAGCGAGUCAUCCUGCACGACCCACCA